Molecule: long non-coding RNA, 864 nt
Filed under: Coffea arabica (coffee)
Lineage: Eukaryota; Viridiplantae; Streptophyta; Magnoliopsida; Gentianales; Rubiaceae
Description: long non-coding RNA (CARA_LNC004378)
Source: RNAcentral
CAUGUUCUCGCUCUAUUUAGGUAAGAGUGCAAUUGAUUAUUGUGACAAGUUUGUAAGCAAGUUUGUUUGGAUAAAACACUUGCAUCCAUUGAAGGCAAUUUUGCCAAAGUGAUUGGAUGUCCUGUUGAUCUGUUGCCUAUAUUGUGAUUGGCUCAGCUGCACUUAUGUUGGUUGGUGACUUUUUGUUAAACACCUGUCCACUAGGAGCCUCCAUCAAAUUAAUUACAUCGAUACUCUAGGUUCCAAUACCUACAGAUUGCGACAUUGUUAUUUUUCUAAUUUGAAUUAUUGAUUUUCUCCUCUUUCAAGAUAGAUAUUUAUCUUUUCAUGUGUAAAGUUCUUUUUUGAUGCAUGUUCUGUCAUCUACAUUAGGCAUUUCCCACAUUGAGAAUGACUUAAGAUAUAGGUUGGUAGACUCUUCAUAUUUUAGCUCUAAUACUACUUAGGUUAGAGUGGGCAAUUGAUUAUUUUGACAAGUUUAAAAGUUCCUUCGUGUGAACGAACAACCGUACCCAUGGAAGGCAACUUUGCCGAGGUGAUCGAUUUCCUUUUGAUUUCCUCUUUUCCUGUUGCCUAUAAUUGUGAUUGGCUCGACUGGGCAUAUAUUGAUUGGUGAAUUAUUUGUUAGAACACCUGAUCCAUUGAAGAGCCUAUAUCAAAUUAAAAUUACAUUGAUACUCUAAGCCUCAAUGCCUGUAAUGUUGUUUUUUAAUUUGAAUUUUUUCUUCUCUCAAUGUACAUAUCCUUUCAUGUGCAAAGUGCUCACUUGAUGCAUGAUUUGGAUGUGUGCAUGACAUACUUCAAUGGGAUGAUCAACAAAUCAUGAGCAUAAUUCUCUAUACGAUGAAUGUGUCUUGGGCUAUG